UUGAGCAAGCAAGACAUGAUAUGAAGAAUUUCAGAAGAUCACACUAACAGUUGUGUAGAAGCAAAACUUUCAGGAUUCCGGAAGAUUUGUGGGCACCUGAGCUAAUGUUGAGGUGGCAGAAGAGGAGCUGACUCCAGUAACUCAUUUUCUCCCUAUCUUUUACCCAGCUGCUUUGCACAAGGUUGAGUUCUUUAAUGAAAGACGAGAUGGCAGAUCCAGUUGUCAAGCUGCUUGGAUGGUGUUAGACUCAGGUCCCUUGCAGAAUCUUUAGAAGCCCAGCCCAGGCAAGAGAGCUCUCCUUGAGGUGACCGCCUGGAGCGUCUAUACUGCAGGAAGGGCUGCUUUAGAAAAUGAGAAGGAUAGCAAUCAGGAUCUGGAGUCAGCAAACUGGAAUGGACGGGGCAAAUCAGGCCCCCUGCACCCCGAUACACACACUUCCAUCAGGACACAUUGCUCUCACUCCUUGUACGUGCGAUGUCUAUGACACUUUCUGUGCUCCAAGGGCAGAAUCAGGAAUAACCUCUUUGAAGACCAGGGUGUGAGCUGGCUUGUUCACCACAAUAUCCCCCAGUGCCCAGAACUUUAAAGGGGCUCAAGAACAUUUGUUUAGUAAAGAAUACCAUGUGGCUAACCUAACAAGAUGCAAACGGAGAUAUUAAGAUUGAAGACAGAUGCUGCUCCUACCGUCGGCGGGGAUGGAGGGCAGUUGAAGAACCAAUGUGAAGGGAACUUCUAGAGACUGGGAGGAAGUCUAACACCUUUCCUCUGUUGAGUGACUGUUACCCAUGAGACCCUAGGGCUACACACGUGAACAGACCACCAUGGUCCCUGUCCUCAUAGUGCUGGUGUUGUAGCACAUUGUUUAAACCCUCCAUCCCCAUUUUAGGAUAGGGCAUGGGGAAGCCUUUUUUUUUUCUCUUUUUUUUUUUUUUUCUUUAUGUAAAGGGCCAGAUAGUAAAUAUUUUAUGCUCUGCAGGUUUGCGAUUUGUGUCACAAAUACUCAACUCUGCUGGUGUAGUGCAAAAGCCAUCACAAAUGGCACAACAUCAUGGCUAUGUUCAAAUAAAACCUUAUUUACAAAAGCAAGCAAUGGGUCUGGUUUAGCA
Molecule: long non-coding RNA, 1106 nt
Organism: Mustela erminea (ermine)
Lineage: Eukaryota; Metazoa; Chordata; Mammalia; Carnivora; Mustelidae
Exons: 6
Source: RefSeq, a predicted model, not a curated record